GCAAGCGUAAUCGGAAUUACUGGGCGUAAAGCGCACGUAGGUGGUUUGUUAAGUCAGAUGUGAAAUCCCCGAGCUCAACUUGGGAACUGCAUUCGAAACUGGCAAGCUAGAGUAUGGUAGAGGGUGGUAGAAUUUCAGGUGUAGCGGUGAAAUGCGUAGAUAUAGAAGGAACACCAGUGGCGAAGGCGACCCCUGGACAAAGACUGACACUCAGGUGCGAAAGCGUGGGGAGCAA
RNAcentral lists this ribosomal RNA (235 nucleotides) under Enterobacteriaceae bacterium. RNAcentral's name for it is "partial 16S ribosomal RNA". It matches the Rfam family "Bacterial small subunit ribosomal RNA", at positions 534 to 771 of the family's 1533-position model. The record is from RNAcentral. Lineage: Bacteria; Pseudomonadati; Pseudomonadota; Gammaproteobacteria; Enterobacterales; Enterobacteriaceae.